UACGUAGGGACCGAGCGUUGUCCGGAAUCAUUGGGCGUAAAGAGCGUGUAGGCGGCCACUUAAGUCCUGCGUGAAAUCUUGCGGCUCAACCGCAAGCGGUCGUGGGAAACUGGGUGGCUAGAGUGCGGGAGAGGAGAGUGGAAUUCCUGGUGUAGCGGUGGAAUGCGCAGAUAUCAGGAAGAACACCCGUGGCGAAGGCGGCUCUCUGGGCCCUACCUGACGCUGAGACGCGAAAGCGUGGGGAGCGAACCGG
Molecule: ribosomal RNA, 253 nt
Filed under: uncultured bacterium
Lineage: Bacteria
Description: partial 16S ribosomal RNA
Rfam family: Bacterial small subunit ribosomal RNA
Source: RNAcentral